UGGGAAUCUUCCGCAAUGGGCGAAAGCUUGACGGAGCAACGCCGCGUGAGUGAUGAAGGUCUUCGGAUCGUAAAACUCUGUUAUUAGGGAAGAACAAAUGUGUAAGUAACUAUGCACGUCUUGACGGUACCUAAUCAGAAAGCCACGGCUAACUACGUGCCAGCAGCCGCGGUAAUACGUAGGUGGCAAGCGUUAUCCGGAAUUAUUGGGCGUAAAGCGCGCGUAGGCGGUUUUUUAAGUCUGAUGUGAAAGCCCACGGCUCAACCGUGGAGGGCCAUUGGAAACUGGAAAACUUGAGUGCAGAAGAGGAAAGUGGAAUUCCAUGUGUAGCGGUGAAAUGCGCAGAGAUAUGGAGGAACACCAGUGGCGAAGGCGACUUUCUGGUCUGUAACUGACGCUGAUGUGCGAAAGCGUGGGGAUCAAACAGG
Molecule: ribosomal RNA, 428 nt
Filed under: Actinomycetes bacterium
Lineage: Bacteria; Bacillati; Actinomycetota; Actinomycetes
Description: Actinobacteria bacterium partial 16S ribosomal RNA
Rfam family: Bacterial small subunit ribosomal RNA
Source: RNAcentral